This 648-nucleotide long non-coding RNA is filed under the name Elaeis guineensis (African oil palm). Its description in RNAcentral is "long non-coding RNA (EGUI_LNC040371)". Lineage: Eukaryota; Viridiplantae; Streptophyta; Magnoliopsida; Arecales; Arecaceae. The record is from RNAcentral.
CAGUGUGACUGAUCUAGGUGCCAGUUCAACCAGCAUGACCCUAAUUCAAUUCAAUGACUUAGUGAAGUUAGUAGAAGGAUUAUGAUUUACUGAUUGAUCUCCUCUCUUCUCAAUUCAUAAAUUAAAUCUUUUAAAUUAUUAAGUCCCUAAAAUGAGUUAGUUAUGAUGAUAACUAAAUCAUAGCCUUCCAUUAAGUUAGGUGAUAAUGGGUCCAUUAGUAUAAUGAUCAUUGGAGGUCCAAAGGUCUGGUGCUCAUCUGCUAUUGAAAUUAUCAUUCACAAUAUGAUGACUCAGUCAAGUCUCUCUGGUGAGUGGUCAGGUUAGCCGACCAAAGUCGGGCCUGAUCAUUUGGUAGUUAGAUUCUUGAGUAUGAUCAUGUUAAUAGUUGGACCUAACCGAAACUUUUAGUGGAGGCCCAUCACCUACUAAAAUGAAACCUAGGGUGAAACUUAUUGCUAAAAAUUAUUUACUGAAAUAAUUGGUUAAGAACCUAUCUAUAGAUGUACAUGGAUGAGCCGGCCAAAGUCGAGCUCAUGUGCAACUGUGUAGAUUCUAGUACCCGCUAAAGAAUUAAGGUAAUUCCUCAGAUUGGAGAUAGAGGUUACCAAUUCGACUAAAAUAGUGGGAGAACCUUUAGACUAAAGUCCA